RNAcentral lists this ribosomal RNA (4481 nucleotides) under Triticum aestivum (bread wheat). RNAcentral's name for it is "partial small subunit ribosomal RNA". The record is from RNAcentral. Lineage: Eukaryota; Viridiplantae; Streptophyta; Magnoliopsida; Poales; Poaceae.
CUGGUGGCCUGACCGCCUGAGCCUUCCCCUUUCUUCCUCCUCUGACUCUCCUCCCCCUCCUUUCCCCACCCGUAUCACCGCCGAGCCGAGCCGAGCCGGGCUGACUCCAACUCCGGCCGCCCCGCCUCACAAGCACCACCACGGAGAAUUAUUAUAUACCGUUACAUAUCUUAAAAGAGAUUACAAAUGGAUUCUCAGCGGACUCAAGAAUAGGAAGGGGUGGGUAUGGAGACGUUUACAAGGGAGUUUACAAUAGGAGAGAGAUUGCUGUGAAGUUGCUUCAUGUUGAUACGGUGCUAGGACUUGAUGACCAACAAUAUAUCAAUGAAGUUGGUAACCUUUUGAAGGUUAAGCAUCCAAAUAUCGUACAGUUACUUGGCUAUUGUUAUGAAAUACAGAAUGAACUAAUUGAACACAAUGGUGCAAAUCAAUUUAGCCAACACAUAUAUAGUCCUCUGCUUUGAGUACUUGCAGUGUGGAAGCCUAGACAAGCAUCUUUGUGCACAAUCUUUCGCACCUAAUUGGAGCACACAUUACAAUAUUAUAAAGGGGAUCUGUGAAGGUUUAAAUUUCCUUCACGAAUGCAAACCACAAAUUUGUCAUCUUGAUUUGAAGCCGACCAAUAUAUUACUAGACAGUUCCAUGGAGCCUAAAGUGGCGGAUUUUGGAUUGUAAAGGCUAUUCACUCCAUCACACACACAUAUCACACAAAGAAUCAUAGGAACCCGGAAGUACAUGCCACCAGAAUUCCUUAAUGAAGGCAAAAUCUCACCUAAGAAUGACGUCUUCGGUUUCGGUGUUGUAAUGAUCGAGAUAAUGGCAGGACCUGCAGGUUACUCCAAUUCUUUUGAAAUGCAUGAUGUGGCACAAUUAAUGCAGCAGGUACUUACCAAUUGUACAAUGAUUGAAGCCACAUCGAAUAACCGAUCAGAGGAAUUACGUCAGGUGAAAACGUGUAUCGAAUUAGCAAUGCGUUGUGUGGAUUCAGAAAGAGACAAUAGGCCCUCUGUAGCAGAUAUCCUAGAUACCCUGAAUAAGACAGAAACUCAUAUUCCCAAGAGACAGCGUUGCUCUCAAAUCAGUGUUCCCGGGCUGGAGAGGGCCAAGAAGAGGAAGAAGACGGGAGGGAACUUGAAGGGGAUUGCAAAAGAACGUACCCAUUUCACUGUCAUGCAAGAAAAUGCCCCUAGUCUGCUUGAAAACAGGGAUCACCGGGAAACAUCAGCAAAGAUAGGAGCAGAAGUCGUAGGGAGGGAAAUGGAAAAACAGGAAAUUAUGGCUCAUUUAUCUGGGAGUACCACACAAGAGAUCACCUUCCUUUCGAUAUAUGGUAUUGGAGGCAUUGGGAAGACAACCAUGGCACAAUUUGUUUUCAAUGAUUUCCAGUUCAAAGAGUACUCUCGGGUUUGGACCUAUGUGUCCCAGACAUUUGAUUUAAAGAAAAUUGGGAAUUCUAUAAUAACACAACUAUCCGGUAGCAAGAGUAUGCAUACUGACCUUCCGAUGAUAGAAAAUAGCCUACAAAAGCUCCUUUCUGGUAAGAGGGUUCUAAUCAUCUUAGAUGACCUGUGGGAGAGGGAAUCCCCUCAGUUAAAAAAGUUGGAGAGUAUGCUAAAUCUGGGUGAAGGCGGCAAAUUGGUGGUGGUAGUAACCACAUGAGAAGAAUCUGUUGCACAUAAAAUUCACACUGGCACAGUGAAGCCAUAUAAGCUAGCUCCCUUAACAGAUGAAAUUUGUUGGACUAUCAUAAAAAAUAAAAGUUCAUUUGAAAAUAGAGCUGAAAGAGCGCAGUUAGAAUUGAUCGGAAAGGAAAUUGCAAAGAAGUGUGGAGGUGUGGCUUUAGCAGCCCAGUCUAUUGGGUAUAUGUUGUAUGCUAUGGAAUUUGAUGAAUGGGUGUCGGUGAACAACAGUGAGAUCUGGGACGUGCUUGCCUCAGGAGAAUCAACUCAUCAUGUUCAUGCAUCCUUGCUGCUAAGCUAUCACGUUAUGGAUAAAUACUUGAAGUUAUGCUUUGCUUAUUGUGCAACCUUUCCAAAAGGUCACAAGAUAGCUAAAGAAGAUCUAGCUCACCAAUGGAUUGCUCUUGGACUUGUUGAGCCGUCAAGGACAUUCUCUGAUAUACAAACCAGUCAUAAAUAUAUUCGUCAUCUUUUUGGCAUGUGCUUCCUUGAACAUCCAAGGUCACAAUGGACUUAUAUGGACGUCGAUAAUGGAUUCUUGAUCAUGCAUGACCUGGUGCACGAUCUCGCAAGAUCAUUUCUGGCUGAUAAAAUUAUUGUAGAGAGUCCUGCCUGCCAAUAUGCAUGGCUGACAGAUCAUAGAAAGCUAUUCAAGUCAUCAAUGAAUCCACUCACCAAGCUAUUUAUGUCAUCAAUGAAUCCACUUGCCAAGCUAUUUAAGUCAUCAGUGACUCCACUCGCCAAGAUAAGGGCACUGCAUUUUCUCGACCGUGCUUACUUGCAGCUUAAUGGUGAAGCUUUUUCACCGGCUAAAUGCCUCCUUGUCCUGGAUUUAAGCAGAUGUUGUGCACAAAAGCUGCCUGAUUCUAUGGGUCAACUGAGACAGUUGAGGUAUCUCGAUGUUUCAUGGAACCCCGAGUUUACUGAAUCUUCUGAAUACCAAGCAUCACCGGAGUCUAUAUUGAUACCGAAAGCCCUGGGUUCCCUUAAUGAACUCCAAUAUUUGAAUUUAUCAGGUCGCGGAAGACCCAUAGGGCUGCCAGAGGUCAUCAGCAAACUCACGGAACUCCGGUAUUUGAAUAUAUCUCAUUGCAAGGGUUAUUAUUUAUUGGACAUCCCAUCAGCAAACCAAAGUUUCAUUGACUGUAUCGGUACCCUUCCUAAUCUGGAGCAGCUGGACAUGUCUUUUAAUAACUAUGGUUUCUGUGUACCUGAAAGUUUCAGCAGGCUCAAGAAGCUGAACCUCUCCGGCUGCCAGUACAUUGCUAGCCUUCCAGAAAAUGUGGGGAAAGUGGAUAUUCCAAGGCUUUUUGGCUUGUUGUUCCCGCAAAAGGGAGGGUUUCCUGUGCGUGUGGUUGAUAGUGAAUCUAGCAGCAGUCUUGUCUGGCUUAAGCAUACAAAUCCUGAUGUUUUGGGGAUCGCCGAUCUUGAAAAUGUGAGGUCCGUGGAAGAGGCACGCAGUAUAAGGUUGAUGGAAAAACAGAGAAUUAAAGAAUUGUCAUUGCAGUGGAGCGGAGGUGUGAGUUCUGUGGAACACAUGGAGUUGCUAACAGAGCUAGUGCCACCAAGCUCUGUAAAGAAUUUCAAGAUAACACGUUACAAGGAUGUCAUGUUUCCGCACUGGUUUAUGCAUAUAAACAAAUAUCUUCCUAAUCUUGUGAGUUUGGAGAUGUGGGGUGUGCUUUGCCACAGCCUACCAACAACACUCGUCCCACUACCCAACCUACGAAAGAUUGUUCUCAGCAACAUGCAUAACCUGGAAGAGUUCAACACAGCAUGCUCUAUAGGCGAGGAUGGUGCAAAUGAGCUCACGUUGGCUAAACUUGAGUAUCUGGCGUAUAUCACGUGCUGACAAUGUGCUAUCGUCAUGGGGAGAGUGUGCGUCAAGCGCAGCUGCUUCCUCCUCAUCUUCUUCUGUGAGUAAGCUAGAAGUUGAAUACUCUGAGUUGCCUUUGCACCAGUGGAGAUUGCUUCACCACCUACAUCGUCUUAGUGAUUUAACUAUCUCCGAUUGCAAUGAUCUGACCAUCUCACCACAGAUCUCCCGAGCCUUCACCUCCCUUGAAUCACUGGAAUUUCGUAGCCUGGAAAAAUUGCCAGAGUGGUUAGGUGAGCUCACAUCUCUUCGGCAGCUGAACUUAAUAUCCAUCCGUCACCUACAGGAAUUGCAUGAGAACAUGAGGCAGCUUAGACAGCUGCAAUCGCUCCACCUGCACUUUUGCAAUACGUCGACAUCACCACCGCAAUGGUUAGGAGAACUCACCUUGCUUAAGACACUUAAAAUCACUUAUUGCAAGGGCAUCAUUUCUUUACCGGAGAGCAUACUCACCAACCUCCAAGAACUUUAUAUUUCGAACUGCCCUGAAUUAUAUAGAUGGUGUAAGUUAGAAGAGAACCAGAUGAAACUAGCUCACAUCAAGGAAAAGUUUAUCUAGGAAACAUUCGGCUCGAGGCAUUUGGGAAACACUUCAGUGAGAUGAUAAGUAUGAUUUAGCAUCUCCUGUAUGCGAUCCAGAUGGCAUGUUGACGAUCGAGGAUGGUGGUCCUUGGAGCUCUUCUGACGCCCCAGGCCCUAGGCGUGUACAGCAAGGAGGAUAUGUCAACCGAAGGAGGAGUAGUUAGGCAGGAUACUCGUGUAAUCUUAAUCUCCUCUUCUCUCUUAUCUCUUGUAUUCUUCUCCUCCAAGAUGUACUCCUCAACAACUUGUACGCGUAUCUCGGCUCACACCCGAUCUAUAUAACACGUACCACGUCGGCCAGGAUAGGCAAGACGUUUCCCGCAUAGUCGCACAUGGUAUUAGAG